Molecule: transfer RNA, 67 nt
Filed under: human gut metagenome
Also listed under: 2 other names
Rfam family: tRNA
About the family: Transfer RNA (tRNA) molecules are approximately 80 nucleotides in length. Their secondary structure includes four short double-helical elements and three loops (D, anti-codon, and T loops). Further hydrogen bonds mediate the characteristic L-shaped molecular structure. tRNAs have two regions of fundamental functional importance: the anti-codon, which is responsible for specific mRNA codon recognition, and the 3' end, to which the tRNAs corresponding amino acid is attached (by aminoacyl-tRNA synthetases). tRNAs cope with the degeneracy of the genetic code in two manners: having more than one tRNA (with a specific anti-codon) for a particular amino acid; and 'wobble' base-pairing, i.e. permitting non-standard base-pairing at the 3rd anti-codon position.
Source: RNAcentral
GGAUGUAGCGCAGUUGGUAGCGCGCCUGCUUUGGGAGCAGGAUGUCGCAGGUUCGAAUCCUGUCAUU